GAUCAUGGCUCAGGAUGAACGCUAGCUACAGGCUUAACACAUGCAAGUCGAGGGGCAUCGGGAAGAAAGCUUGCUUUCUUUGCCGGCGACCGGCGCACGGGUGAGUAACACGUAUCCAACCUGCCCUUUACUCGGGAUAGCCUUUCGAAAGAAAGAUUAAUACCCGAUGGCAUAAUGAUUCCGCAUGGUUUCAUUAUUUAAAGGAUUCCGGUAAGGAUGGGAUGCGUUCCAUUAGGUUGUUGGUGAGGUUAACGGG
This 256-nucleotide ribosomal RNA is filed under the name uncultured bacterium. Its description in RNAcentral is "partial 16S ribosomal RNA". It matches the Rfam family "Bacterial small subunit ribosomal RNA", at positions 15 to 263 of the family's 1533-position model. The record is from RNAcentral.